CUUGUAAGAAACACCUCAUUCAAAGUUGUUAUGGAAACACCAUAAUCCUCAAUGCCUUGGUUAGAACAUCUAUCAAGAUCCCUGUAAAGUUCUAAAAGUGGACACAAAAACAGAUUAUAAGAAUAUAAUUUAUAAUGAGAACCAUAUUUCUCAAAAAUGUAAAAUAUUGGUAAUAGGCCAAAUGUACCAAUCAGAAACAAAAUUGUGAUACAGAUGAUCUCAUUUCUAAAAUGAUCCAUAUAGUAUGUUACUUUUCAUGUCUUUUUGAGAUCAAAGUCUAAUCUAAACAUUUAUUUUUUCAUUCUUAGGAAACUACCUAUGUGUUUUUUGAAAAACAUAUUUUACUUAAUAUAUUUUUUAAAAUUUAUUUUUGUUAUAUUACAGGGAGUGUUUAAUUCUCAAUUUCAACUAAUUAAAAAAAUAUUUUCCA
This 430-nucleotide non-coding RNA is filed under the name Pan troglodytes (chimpanzee). Lineage: Eukaryota; Metazoa; Chordata; Mammalia; Primates; Hominidae. The record is from RNAcentral.